RNAcentral lists this transfer RNA (68 nucleotides) under Schismatogobius marmoratus. RNAcentral describes it as "tRNA-Ser". The record is from RNAcentral. Lineage: Eukaryota; Metazoa; Chordata; Actinopteri; Gobiiformes; Gobiidae.
GAGGGGGGCUUGCCAGCAACGGGGGCUGCUACCCACCGUAACCUCGGUUGAAAUCCGACGCCCCCUCG